Molecule: non-coding RNA, 2705 nt
Organism: Coturnix japonica (Japanese quail)
Lineage: Eukaryota; Metazoa; Chordata; Aves; Galliformes; Phasianidae
Source: RefSeq, a predicted model, not a curated record
UUCAGCCUGGAGAAGAGAAGGCUGCAAGGUGACCUGAGAGCAGCUUUUCAGUAUCUAAGUGAGGACUAUUAGAAGAGGACAGAUAUUUUAGCAGGGUCUGUGGUGACAGAUUUAGGGGAGAUUGUUUCAAAGUGAAAGAGGGGAGACUUAGAUUGGGCAUAAGGAAGAAGAUUUUUACAAUCAGGAUGAUGAAGCACUGGCACAAGUUGCCCAGACUAGUGGUGGAUGCCCUCUUCCAUGAGAUAGUAAAGGUCAGCUUGGACAGGGCUCUGAGCAAUCUGAUGGAUCUGUGGGUGUUUCAUUGUGUGUUUUCAUUGUGUGGGAGUUGGACUAGAUGGUCUUUAAUGGCUCCUUUCAGCUCAAACAAUUAUAUGAUUCUGUGAUUCAUACACUCAAUACAAAUCUGAUUUUUUCUUGGGGAUGAGGUGUGAGGAGAAGGCAACAGAUGAGGGCUGUGUUUUGUAAAGGCAACUUCAGGUUGCAGAGAAAGUGCAGGAAAACAAACUGUCAAGUUAAUUUUAUGUGUGCUUCAGCAGGUGGUUUAGAACAUAGAAAUUAAAGAAUCCUGCGCCUUCAAAACUUUGCUCUUACACUGCAACUCUGUGGCUCUGCCAAAGGUUGUGUCUAGGAAACCUGAGAGGCAAUGUGCUCUUUACUUCUUCAAAGUUUGCUUUGUGUUUGAAGCUGAUGGGAAUUUGCAAUUUUGUGGGGCUACUAGGUUUCUCUUCUUCAGCAGUGCACAAACUGCAGGUAUAUGUGUCAAAACAGAAAGGCAAAGAUGACUGUGUGCAUGCCAUCAUCACCUGCAGCACUGGGGCCAGAGCACCUUCAUAAAGCUGGCAUGUCAUGCUGUAGAAACUUGAACUAUUUGUGCUACCAGUGGUAUAGCUGUCUGAUUUGUCUAUGCAUAAACAGGAAGAGUUUUCUGAUUAUAAUAGCAAAGUUCAAUUAAUAAAUUAAGUGAUUCAGCUCUUUCCUUGUAUUUGUAGGGGAACUGCACCAUGUUGUGAAGUGUUACAUGUUUUGAUGUGGUGGAGGCAGGGUGAGGUGUGUGAAGGAUCAUCACGAUAACUUUUCUGCUCAGGAGUUGUUGUAAGGAUAAACUAUUUAUAAUAGCUGUGGAAAAAGCUCCCCUCCCAAAGGACCUGAGGAUGCCCCUAUUACUCCAGCCACUUCCAUCUGCUAUUUGCAGAAACUGAAGAAAAUUUGCUGUGCUUCUGGAAGGCUCUUCUGAUAUCCUGCUCAUAGGCAACUGCCAUAGAAGGACUGAUUAUAUAUAUGAACAUCUUUGCACAUAAUCUGGAGAAACUUUGUGGAAGAUGUUGACUGACAGUUGCUGAGGUAGUAAAUCUUCUAUUUAGAAAUCAGUCUGUUUGCCUACAGUGCUUGCCAGUCCAACUGGCUGUUUCAGGAAGACUAGACUCAAGAUGUGAAGAUGUCUAGCCACUAUUUCGGUUUGGUUCCUGCUCCUUUGCUGACAUUUGCUGAGCCCUCCAUAUGUCAUGCCAACUCCCUAACAUGGAAGUAGCUGCUUAAUUCCUCUUCUACCUCAACAUUUCUCACCCUCUGUCCCAUAAUUGUCAGUGCCUUGGAUGUUCUUCAUGCAACCUACUUAAAGAUUUCUCAAGAAAGGGAGGGUGAGUCAGCCUGGGUCUGAUUGCCCUCUAGGGCAAGGUUUUGUGAGAAGAGAAUGAGAAGGGCAGUGUCCUAGACUGUCAUCAGUAGAAUUCCUUAACCAGAUAAACACCUUCUUAGAUGUCCAGGCCUGGGUGCCCCUUGAUGUUCUUCUUUCCCUGACAAGUUUGGCUGGAUCUGACAGGUAGUCUGUUCUGUGCACUCUGUGUCUGGGAACACUUUACAGAGUGUUGUUUUACUCCAGGUUCUCAGGGGUUUGGAGGUCAGCAUCCUACACUCUGUUGUUUCUCUAUCAGAACCUUAUGUAUUGUCCCUAUUUUUAUACCAUGGCUGACAUGAGCAAAUGGACAUGUGCAGAAGGAGAGCAGGUGCUGCUACCACCAGCUCCUUGACUGAGUGCAGUAGCAUGGCACUGGUGAGUGAGGCAUGAGCAUCAGCUGCUCAUGCAGUGUGGUGAUGCUGACCUGGGAUGCAUGCAGAUCCUUCUAGUCAAAAAAUACCCUUCAGGAUGAAGCCAUGGCCCUUUUCUGCCCGAUAGCUGGGAAGUGGCUUUCAUGGGGAAAGCACUUAACAUUUGUGCUCUGGAACACUGCUGUUGUUCCCACACAUCACACUAUCAUUCUGUUAUCAAUGCUAAAAUAAGGUUGAAAGGCUAACUCCAUGUGUACUGCUCCACAUUUUUCAGCACUAUCUUUAUUUGCUACUUACAGCACUGCAAGAUAUUCUAGGAUCAACCUUCCUCUUGUACCUCUGAGGCACUAUGGUCCCUCUCUGUCAAAUGACAAAUUUGCGGCUUCCUCCAGCUCCCCAUUCUGCCCAUCUCAUCCUGUGAUUAAGCUGCCCCUCAGACCUGGAGGAGCUUUAUGAACAUAACCUCUCUGCAUUUGUCACUGACUGUCAGCCUUAUUCAGUGCAAUGGGAAUGAGCAGCAUUUUGAUCAAGAGUCCUGCUUGCUUUAUCUUAUCCCUGCUGUCACUACUGUAAAUCUGUGAGAACCCACUCACUUUCUUAAAAGCUUGUGUGGUGAAAUUUUGACUGUGUUGUGACCAAAAAAAAAAAAAAAAAAAAAA